GGAAUUUAAGGCCAUAUGUCCCCAUUUACUUACCAUCUUGCCUAUAAACUAGAGUGUCUUUGUGUAUUCUGUCAUUGGCUUCAACUGCCAGCCAUGGUAAGAUACAGCAUGGUAUUCCAAGCAGUACCCUGUGUGACCAUGCGCGUGGGGGAAUUGCAAUCGUCCACAGUGGGGGGCCCGGCAUAUGCUUCAGCGUAUGUUGAAGUUUAUGCGCAUGUGCCUGUACAUAUGUAGGCGCGCGCACUUACACAAACGCACUUACACUAUUACACACGCUUAAAACGCUUCUUUUUUAGAUAUGUACAAUGCCCAAGGCAUGGUGAAGGAGAUAUAAAACAAAUAAUUCUCCAGGUUGAAUGAGCAUAAAUAUGGAGAAACCGUAAGGUGUUGCUAAGGCAUGCCCCCUACAGGAUGUCUCGAUCAGUGAAGUAAGGCAAGGGACCCCCCAGCUGGACAAGUGAUUUAACAGAAGCUCGUCCGUCUAGCUGCUACCCGUGGCUGUGGUCUGGCCAGAUGAGGCCCGUCGGCUGGUCCAAGGGCCCGGGGCUGGGCCUGCUGGCUGGGCCUGCUGGCUGAUGAACUAAACAUGAGGAGGAGGAAUGUUACUGCGGACAUGUGGACGUCCAAGAGUACUCCUUUCCAAAGUUGACGGGCAAGUGGAGAGAAGUCAUGUAAAAUAUAAGAGAAGUCACGUAAAAUAUAACAAAAACCCAGUAACCACGCACGUCCCCACCCUGCUUGGGGUGCGGGUGCAUGUCUGAGCAGCUGGAGCUUCGCGGAGUUCUCCACGGCAACGGGGGACGAGCGCUGAGCCCACAGAGAGGUUCGCCGCAUUUUUCGCCGUUGAGGAAACGGCCGUCUCUGACAGCGACGGCUUUGUGUUUGGACACGAGGAGGCCAGAUGUCCUGUUCUGUGCAGGCCUGGAAUCCAUCACAAG
Anguilla rostrata (American eel) is the source of this 938-nucleotide long non-coding RNA. RefSeq lists it as uncharacterized. Lineage: Eukaryota; Metazoa; Chordata; Actinopteri; Anguilliformes; Anguillidae. The record is from RefSeq and is a predicted model, not a curated record. The transcript has 3 exons.